UUUUUUAUGUCCUAAAAAUUCCUUCUUUUGCAGCGCUGAUUUAAGCUUCAAUUGAAUUACAAGAAAAAAACAAGCUCAAAUGGAUUUGGAAUGAACUCGUCAAACAACCUGUCGUGUUUGGACGUCAGCCUUUCUGUCCCAGACAUCCAGACAUUUUAGUAUCGCAGAGAGCGUGGUUUUCUGCCACGGAUAACUGGACAGUCUGGAAGAAAAAUGAACAUGAUAUAACUGGGCAUCAUCUGCAGAUUUAUCCCACAGUGUGAUAAGAAAUAAAACAUAUCCACCAUCGACAGCCAGGACUGUGGAUACUAGACUUCCACGAUGCCCGCCGUGUGACCUUACCACCAAGAAUGAAGACUUCUCACACCAGGAAAUGUUUCCACAGAGUUCUACAGUCAA
Molecule: long non-coding RNA, 399 nt
Organism: Cynoglossus semilaevis (tongue sole)
Lineage: Eukaryota; Metazoa; Chordata; Actinopteri; Pleuronectiformes; Cynoglossidae
Exons: 3
Source: RefSeq, a predicted model, not a curated record